AGGACGAACGCUGGCGGCGUGCCUAACACAUGCAAGUGGAGCGACGAACCAGGGCUUGCCCUGGAGCAAAGCCGCGAACGGGUGAGUAACACGUGGGUAACCUGCCCCGAAGAUUGGGACAACCCGAGGAAACUCGGGCUAAUACCGAAUGAAUCCUCUGGACUCAAGUCCAGCGGGAAAAGGAAGCUUCGGCCUCCGCUUCGGGAGGGGCCCGCGGCCCAUUAGCUAGUUGGUGAGGUAACGGCUCACCAAGGCUGCGAUGGGUAGCUGGUCUGAGAGGACGAUCAGCCACACUGGGACUGAGACACGGCCCAGACUCCUACGGGAGGCAGCAGUGGGGAAUCUUGCGCAAUGCGCGAAAGCGUGACGCAGCAACGCCGCGUGGGGGAAGAAGGCCUUCGGGUUGUAAACCCCGUUUCAGGAGGGACGAAGGUGCGACGGUGAAUAGCCGUUCGCACUGACGGUACCUCCAGAAGAAGCCCCGGCUAACUACGUGCCAGCAGCCGC
RNAcentral lists this ribosomal RNA (507 nucleotides) under uncultured bacterium. RNAcentral's name for it is "SSU rRNA". It matches the Rfam family "Bacterial small subunit ribosomal RNA", at positions 26 to 518 of the family's 1533-position model. The record is from RNAcentral.